RNAcentral lists this ribosomal RNA (253 nucleotides) under uncultured bacterium. RNAcentral describes it as "partial 16S ribosomal RNA". It matches the Rfam family "Bacterial small subunit ribosomal RNA", at positions 524 to 776 of the family's 1533-position model. The record is from RNAcentral.
UACGAAGGGGGCUAGCGUUGCUCGGAAUCACUGGGCGUAAAGGGUGCGUAGGCGGGUUAUUAAGUCAGAGGUGAAAUCCUGGAGCUCAACUCCAGAACUGCCUUUGAUACUGAUAGUCUUGAGUAUGGGAGAGGUGAGUGGAACUGCGAGUGUAGAGGUGAAAUUCGUAGAUAUUCGCAAGAACACCAGUGGCGAAGGCGGCUCACUGGCCCGGUACUGACGCUGAGGUGCGAAAGCGUGGGGAGCAAACAGG